CGGGUGAGUAACGCGUGAGGAACCUGCCUCAAAGAGGGGGACAACAGUUGGAAACGACUGCUAAUACCGCAUAAGCCCACGGCUCGGCAUCGAGCAGAGGGAAAAGGAGUGAUCCGCUUUGAGAUGGCCUCGCGUCCGAUUAGCUGGUUGGUGAGGUAACGGCCCACCAAGGCGACGAUCGGUAGCCGGACUGAGAGGCCGAACGGCCACAUUGGGACUGAGACACGGCCCAG
This 233-nucleotide ribosomal RNA is filed under the name uncultured bacterium. RNAcentral's name for it is "partial 16S ribosomal RNA". It matches the Rfam family "Bacterial small subunit ribosomal RNA", at positions 103 to 334 of the family's 1533-position model. The record is from RNAcentral.